UCGGAAGGUGCGGCUGGAUCACCUCCUUUCUAGGGAGACAUACACCGGGCCGAGAGCCUGGAUGUCACUUAGGUCGACACUUUGGCGAGUAAGUAGACAUAGCAUAUGCGCUAGCAGUACUUACAACCUAACAUUGUUCGGUUUUGAGAGAUCUGUAAAGACUCUCAAUUCUACAGAUAUGGGCCUAUAGCUCAGCUGGUUAGAGCGCACGCCUGAUAAGCGUGAGGUCGGUGGUUCGAGUCCACCUAGGCCCACCAGUUGGCUCAUAUAACUUGAAAUACACUUUGUGUAAAGUACAGACAUUAAGAGCUAAACAAAAUGGUAAAACUUUUAAAAGAUAACGGAUUCUGCGGAAUGGAUUAUCGAGACUAAAGCGUAACCGAACAUGGGGGCGUAGCUCAGUUGGGAGAGCACCUGCCUUGCAAGCAGGGGGUCAGGAGUUCGAAUCUCCUCGUCUCCACCAUUUAGUAUUUAAUACAUUAAAUACUAAACUGACUUAAGUUUAAGUCAACUACAAUUUAAUAGAUUUCGAUGGCUAUCUAGGCGCAUGAGAUGAACGACGUCGUCGCGUAAUGGUAAUUACGCAACAAGACAAGUGAGACGAAUGCAACGACGAUAGACGCGAACUAUAUGAAUUGUUUGUUCUUUGAAAACUGCAUAGAAGAAUUAAUAUAUAUUUGUAAGGUCAUCUCUUAGAAUUUCUAAGUAGGUUGACCCGAGCACAUAGGAAAUAAUUCUCUGACUUAAUGGUGACGUACAUGAAAAUGUACGGCUACAAAAAACGACAAUGUAUCUAAUGCAUGUCAAUAUUAUCUCUCAUGUAUUCAAUCAUGAGAUUUUUGUUAGCAUUUGAUGCAUAUCUAGGAGCCUGAGCGAGAUGAAGCCGCCGCGUACUGUCGUACGUAAGGCAAAAUCGAGCGUGGGGCGACGACGAUAGGCGCACAUGCUAACGCAAAAUAAGUAAAGAUAAUAAGGGCGUACGGUGGAUGCCUUGGCGAUAUCAGCCGAAGAAGGACGCGGUAAGCUGCGAAAAGCUACGGAGAGGUGCAAGCAACCUUUGACCCGUAG
Molecule: unclassified non-coding RNA, 1068 nt
Filed under: Veillonella denticariosi
Lineage: Bacteria; Bacillati; Bacillota; Negativicutes; Veillonellales; Veillonellaceae
Description: partial contains 16S ribosomal RNA, 16S-23S ribosomal RNA intergenic spacer, and 23S ribosomal RNA
Rfam family: Bacterial large subunit ribosomal RNA (bases 960-1068)
Source: RNAcentral